UAAAAUAAAGCCAAACCUGUCGUGAGGCAGGGAUGGAAAGCCACGGGUCUUAUUAAAAUGAAAGACAGCCGGGUUGCUGAAA
Molecule: non-coding RNA, 82 nt
Filed under: Desulfobacteraceae bacterium
Lineage: Bacteria; Pseudomonadati; Thermodesulfobacteriota; Desulfobacteria; Desulfobacterales; Desulfobacteraceae
Description: c-di-GMP sequence
Rfam family: c-di-GMP-I-GGC riboswitch aptamer
Source: RNAcentral